UGGAUGUGAUGACUGAUUAUCUGAUAUGCUGAUGAAACUGUUGCCGAAGUCCUCUAGAUAGUCAAGUGCUGAUCCAG
RNAcentral lists this small nucleolar RNA (77 nucleotides) under Eurypyga helias (sunbittern). RNAcentral's name for it is "Small nucleolar RNA SNORD20". It matches the Rfam family "Small nucleolar RNA SNORD20". From Rfam's summary of the family: U20 is a C/D box small nucleolar RNA that is encoded in intron 11 of the nucleolin gene in human, mouse and rat. Lineage: Eukaryota; Metazoa; Chordata; Aves; Eurypygiformes; Eurypygidae. The record is from Rfam by way of RNAcentral.